RNAcentral lists this ribosomal RNA (253 nucleotides) under uncultured bacterium. RNAcentral's name for it is "partial 16S ribosomal RNA". It matches the Rfam family "Bacterial small subunit ribosomal RNA", at positions 524 to 776 of the family's 1533-position model. The record is from RNAcentral.
UACGUAGGGGGCAAGCGUUGUCCGGAUUUAUUGGGCGUAAAGAGCGUGUAGGCGGUCUGGUAGGUCCGUUGUGAAAACUCGAGGCUCAACCUCGAGACGCCGAUGGAAACCCUCAGACUAGAGUCCGGAAGAGGAGAGUGGAAUUCCUGGUGUAGCGGUGAAAUGCGCAGAUAUCAGGAAGAACACCCGUGGCUAAGGCGGCUCUCUGGACAGUUCCUGACACUGAGACACGAAGGCCAGGGGAGCAAACGGG